AUGUCAGAAGACACUUUAGGUCCUAAGGGAACCCAGAGCCCCAGGCAGACGGAGUCUAUUUCCCUGAAUUGCUGCCUAAAGGAAAGACACACCUGCCAAACAAGAACAGACACCUGGGACAUUUGCAUGAGUAGGGAAGAAACUACUAUGGGGGUAAGCCAUGGAAAUUGGGUGGUUGAUUUGCUACAGCGGCUGGCAUUUUCUAUUAUAUUGUCAUAUGCUUUUUUGAGUUUACUAAGAAGUAAAACUGACUUGUUCACUUUUGAAACUUCUUAUAUUCCCAACUCCUACUCAGUGUCUAGCACAGUGUUUUUAUAUUCAGUGGGUCACAAUAAGACUAUCUCUUACAGAGUUCUUGCUAUGUGAUCAUCGCUAUGCUAAGAG
RNAcentral lists this long non-coding RNA (384 nucleotides) under Mustela putorius furo (domestic ferret). RNAcentral describes it as "lncRNA (ENSMPUG00000028701.1)". The record is from RNAcentral. Lineage: Eukaryota; Metazoa; Chordata; Mammalia; Carnivora; Mustelidae.